AGUGAACGCUGGCGGUAGGCCUAACACAUGCAAGUCGAACGGCAGCGCAGUAAGAGCUUGCUCUUACGGGUGGCGAGUGGCGGACGGGUGAGGAAUACAUCUGAAUCUACUUUUUCGUGGCGGAUAACGUAGGGAAACUUACGCUAAUACCGCAUACGUCCUACUGGUGAAAGCAGGGGAUCUUCGGACCUUGCGCGAUUGAAUGAGCCGAUGUCGGAUUAGUUAGUUGGCGGGGUAAAGGCCCACCAAGGCGACGACCCGUAGGUGGGCUGUGAGGAUGAUCAGCCACACUGGAAGUGAGAGACGGUCCAGACACAUACGGAAGGCAGGAGUGGGUAAUGUAGGACGAUGGGCGGAAGCCUGCUCCAGCCAUCCAAGUAGGGUGAAGAAGGCCUGCGGGUUGGAAAGUCAUUUUGUUGGGUGAGAAAAGCAGCAGGUUAAGACCUCGCUGUUCUGACGGAACGCAAAGAAUAAGACCCGGCUAUUUUGGU
RNAcentral lists this ribosomal RNA (491 nucleotides) under uncultured bacterium. RNAcentral's name for it is "partial 16S ribosomal RNA". It matches the Rfam family "Bacterial small subunit ribosomal RNA", at positions 29 to 506 of the family's 1533-position model. The record is from RNAcentral.